UACGGGAGGCAGCAGUGGGGAAUAUUGCACAAUGGGGGAAACCCUGAUGCAGCGACGCCGCGUGAGUGAUGAAGUAUUUCGGUAUGUAAAGCUCUAUCAGCAGGGAAGAUAAUGACGGUACCUGACUAAGAAGCACCGGCUAAAUACGUGCCAGCAGCCGCGGUAAUACGUAUGGUGCAAGCGUUAUCCGGAUUUACUGGGUGUAAAGGGUGCGUAGGUGGCAAGGCAAGUCUGAAGUGAAAAUCCGGGGCUCAACCCCGGAACUGCUUUGGAAACUGUUUAGCUGGAGUACAGGAGAGGUAAGUGGAAUUCCUAGUGUAGCGGUGAAAUGCGUAGAUAUUAGGAGGAACACCAGUGGCGAAGGCGACUUACUGGACUGCUACUGACACUGAGGCACGAAAGCGUGGGG
This 409-nucleotide ribosomal RNA is filed under the name uncultured bacterium. RNAcentral describes it as "bacterial SSU rRNA". It matches the Rfam family "Bacterial small subunit ribosomal RNA", at positions 340 to 766 of the family's 1533-position model. The record is from RNAcentral.